AUGUUGUCUUCUUGCCUGAGGUGGAUAUGUCACAUGAAGCCAUCUAUCCUCAGCCAGCCAAAGAACCACUCCGUAAAGACAAUCCUGCCUUUCAGAGCUUCUCUGCUCCUAUUGAAGCCACUCAUGUUCCAAAUCAUGUUGCUGUUGGUCCACUUGCAGCUUCGUCUGCUGCAUCGUGCUCACACUGAUGCGACAACCAGCACAGUUCCUCAGAGGGCUUCGAAGCGUGCUCGAGUACUCAAUGAUAGAGAACUUUUAUUUUCUCUUCAUCAAAAGCAUGAUAGGCAUCAUGAUUGGAUGAAACGCUAG
This 309-nucleotide ribosomal RNA is filed under the name Triticum aestivum (bread wheat). Its description in RNAcentral is "partial small subunit ribosomal RNA". Lineage: Eukaryota; Viridiplantae; Streptophyta; Magnoliopsida; Poales; Poaceae. The record is from RNAcentral.